GUGCUAUUGGAUUGAACCAAGUCCCUCAUAUCUUAAUCCAUCUGUUUCACUUUGUCAGCAGUCUUGAUUGGUUUCUCGCUGAUCAUUUCAGGAUGGGAAAUAU
Eutrema salsugineum is the source of this 103-nucleotide small nucleolar RNA. It matches the Rfam family "Small nucleolar RNA snoR99". The record is from Rfam. NCBI's taxonomy places the organism in Eukaryota, Viridiplantae, Streptophyta, Magnoliopsida, Brassicales, Brassicaceae.